Molecule: long non-coding RNA, 805 nt
Organism: Corvus hawaiiensis (hawaiian crow)
Lineage: Eukaryota; Metazoa; Chordata; Aves; Passeriformes; Corvidae
Exons: 3
Source: RefSeq, a predicted model, not a curated record
CCAGGAUCGGUGAGGGCUGGGAGCGAUCCCAGGGGGAUUUGAGAGAUUUUCUUGGGAUAUUCUUGGGAUUUCGGGAGGUUUUGGGGUGGUUUUUGGGGAUUUCAGGCUGGUUUGGUGCUUAAAAGUUCCCAGCAGGAGGGGAGUGCCAGGAUCGGUGAGGGCUGGGAGCGAUCCUGGAGGGGUUUUGGGGGGAUUUCUUGGGAUUUCGGGUGGUUUUUGGGGAUUUCUGGAUGAUUCUGCACCCAAACAUUCCCAAAAUCCAUCCUGGAGAGGCCCCAGCAGGAGGAGUGCCAGGAUAGGUGAGGGCUGGGAGUGAUCCUGGAGGGGUUUUGGGAUGGGUUUGGUGGGAUUUGGGAUGGGUUUUGCGGUGGUUUUUGGGGAUUUCUGGAUGAUUCUGCACCCAAACAUUCCCAAAAUCCCUGCUGGAGAGGCACCAGCAGGAGGAGUGCCAGGAUCGGUGAGGGCUGGGAUCCAUCCUAGACGGGUUUUGGGGGAAUUUCUUGGGAUUUCGGGAGGUUUUGGGGCGGUUUUGUGGUUAAAAGUUCCCCAAAUCCAUCCUGGAUUGGCCCCAGCAGGAGGAGGUGCCAGGAUCGGUGAGGGCUGGGAGCGAUCCCAGGGGGAUUUGAGAGAUUUUCUUGGGAUUUCUUGGGAUUUCUUGGAUUCCGGGAGGUUUUGGGGUGGUUUUUGGGAUUUCUGGAUGAUUCUGCACCUAAACAUUCCCAAAAUCCAUCCUGGAUUGGCCCCAGCAGGAGGAGUGCCAGGAUCGGUGAGGGCUGGGAGUGAUCCUGGAGGGGUUUUGGGAUGG